UGUUUUUUCUUCUUUACAAGCUGCUCUGUGUCUUUGUUCAGGUUGAGAGGACUUUGGGUAUUGAGGCUGCAAGAUCCACCAUCAUCAAUGAGAUUCAGUACACCAUGGUCAACCACGGAAUGAGCAUCGACCGGCGUCACGUCAUGCUUCUUGCUGAUCUUAUGUCCUAUAAGGACCAGACCUGCUGGGAUCUGUACAGAUGUCUCGAUGAGGGUGGGAGUGGUUUCAGUAAAGGAGAGCUGGAUCAGUCUACAAACACAUUGUUGUAACCAGUGUGGGAAAUCUUUCAGGCAGUCAAGUUAUUUGAAACGUCAUAUGCUCAUCCACACGGAAGAAAUUAGUUUUUUACUGUGAUAUUUCCUCAUGUUUGACAAAGUGGUUAUUAUCUUAACUGUGAAAUAAAAGCCCUCCUUAAACGUUAUUUAAUCUAGUCUCUUUUUCAAAAGAGGCCUGAGAACAACAGACAUUCCAAUAAACUACCCUUAGUUAGUAAAGUGAAACUAAAUAUUAACUAUAUAUAUAAACUAUUGUACCCAAAACCUCCACUGCCAUAUUAGAACAGGAUAUGCUUUUAUUUCUAAAACAUUGCCAAUGAUUUUGACAAAUCAUUCUGUGGUUUUAUUUGAGAAAGUUGUUGCCCCAGCAUUGUCCUACAGGGGGCAGUUGUUUUAAAACUACAUUUGUCUUCCAUGUGUCACCAUUUGCUUGCAUAUUUCAUAAACAUCACAAUCACUAAUUUCCAACUCUAUACUGAUGAUAUUUUCCUGGUUUUCUUAGCUGGCUGGAGAUGAAUUUUUGCAUCCCUACCCUGAUUUUCAUUAUCGAGGCUCGCUUUUUCCCCUAACAUUCUCCCACAACGGGAGUGUUUGACCUUUAAAGUCACGGUUUCUUCUACUGACCGGCACCUUUGUGAUUAAUCCUUGCAGCUCUACUGCAUGAUCUACUGUUUGCUUUACCCCGUUAGUCAUUCUCUACUAACACUGCAGUUUCUGCUGCUGCCGGUUUUCAACAAAUUCCAGGAGAAGAACAUACAUUACUCCCAUUCACGUCUCCCUGUGAUUUACUAUCGAUUUAGCUGAUUUAGCUUUAAAGCACAGCAUGCUCCCCUUCUGUCUUCCGUUAGGCUCUGCUAAGCCUCCUGCUGCUGAAGCUUCUUACCUGAGCAUUGGUUUGGAAAAAUAAGUAAAUAAAGUCCAAGGACUCACCGAUGUGGGCCCCUCAAAAUUGUUCAUUAUCACUCCCUGUUUUACCUCUGCUAUUUUUUUCGUCAUGUUUUUUAACGGUUUAUUCAGUGUUAUUGUAUAACUUUGUUUUUCAAAGCGGUGUCAAUGUUUUAAAGCUUUAUACCCAUGGGAGAUGACUUUUAAUGUGUUUUUCAUCCCACCAAACAGAGGUGGGAUAUUUGUAUGCAUUGCACUUAUCAGCCAGGAAUAGAGCUAAAGAUGAAAUAACCCAGGUUUGACUCCUCUCUCAGUAAAAAGUAUUUUUCUGUACAAACUGUCUCUUAAUGUUAAAUGAAUGCAUUUAACUUGCAUAUGAACUGUUCCAUCAGUCGCUUUGGUUUGACAUCAAACAAACAGUUUAUUGCCAUUUCAAAAUGAAUGCAUCCCUUUCCAUUUGACAAACAAAGGAAGUUUUUCUCUCAGCAAAAUAUAGGCUUUGUUAUAAUAAUAAUAAUAAUAAUAAUAAUAAUAAUAAUAAUAAUAAUAAUAAUAAUAAUAAUAAUAAUAAAACAAAAAAAGAAAACAAGGAGGACAAGCACAAAUUCUUUGGACUUGCUUGGUAACCAACUACAGAGCAGGUGGUGGGAUAGUAGGCUGAAGCCUGGAGGCUGAAAUCACCAAAAUGUGGGCAGAAAAAAACACAUGCGCUGAAAGCUAUCCAGACCUUGCGACGUGGACAUACUUAACGUAAUUCAAAAAACUAACAAAAACAAGGAGUGAGCUAGAAUAACAGAAAUGUUAGCAUGCUAUUCUAAUGUAGCAAGCUACAGGACCGAUUCAGGGCAUUAACUUACUGUUUACAUGCUGCCAACAACAUGGACUGCACUCACAUUUUGCUGAAUGAUUUUGUGGAGGUUGAUCAGAACAAUUUGAUGCCUCAUCUCAUUUCCCAGUUUGUACGUCCGCAAUCUGAGGAGUCAAGGCAACAGGCAUUUCAUUUAAAUGAGACAUCUUUGCCCUGGAGCUGUUGUUUUAAUGUGGCAUCAGUUAAACACAACGCAGCUGCAUCAUCUGUCUAUUGUUUUGCUAUAAUAUACCCCUGUUAUACAUUAUACUAUUUUAAGAUCCCUGUCAGGAGCAGAAAAGUGUUCAUGAUAACUUACAAUACAUAAUUACUCAUAAUUCAAUUCACAAUGUGGCAACAUGUAACAAGAACGUACAGAUGAUAUCCUUUCAUUAUUUAGCAAACACUGGCGGUGAAGGAUAAAAGGCAUAACAUACAAAAGAGUACUAUACAAACAAAGAGUGACAAGUAUUCUGGUGAGAUGAGCCUAGAGCCAGAAGUAGUGUGCAUGAUAACUGUCUUCCAUUCAGUUAAGUGUUGGGUUGAAUAUGAAAAGGCUGUUGUAGGAGUAUGUUUUGUUCAGCUUAUUAAAACUCCUCUUGGUCAAACACA
Amphiprion ocellaris (clown anemonefish) is the source of this 2619-nucleotide long non-coding RNA. RefSeq lists it as uncharacterized. The transcript is spliced from 2 exons. Lineage: Eukaryota; Metazoa; Chordata; Actinopteri; Pomacentridae. The record is from RefSeq and is a predicted model, not a curated record.